RNAcentral lists this long non-coding RNA (582 nucleotides) under Chlamydomonas reinhardtii. RNAcentral's name for it is "long non-coding RNA (CREI_LNC000441)". Lineage: Eukaryota; Viridiplantae; Chlorophyta; Chlorophyceae; Chlamydomonadales; Chlamydomonadaceae. The record is from RNAcentral.
AAACGCCAUGCCGCGAGCCCGCCGGGUGUACAAGUCAGCUGCAGCCGCAUCCGAGUCCCAUGACAGGGGCACACCCAGGUGCGUCACGGCGCCAGUGGUAAACGGCACCCCCGUGUGUGGGCAAGGGCCCGUCAGGUGCGCAAACCUGCCAAGGAAUAAUAAUAAUAAUACCUACGCUCGGACCAAGGUCCCGCGUGCCUUAAGGAAGAGUCCCAUCGAGGCUAACCCUACCGUAUCUCUGUGGGACCUUGGCAAGAGGCACCCCACGCAUCCACCUUCACUCAGUCCAUAGGAACCGAAGUUCUGGACCUAUCGGCCUACCAACUCUCCGAAUUCGGCCAUCGUGAAGUUUCCGCGUUGCAACAAUGGGAUCCGAACCCAGAGAGUCGCUACAACGCUUCCGUCAGUACCGCGGACUCCAUACCGGAAUACUGACUCGGUUCCCCGGGCAGGAUCCGAACCUGCAUCUAUACUUGUCAGCCUCAACCCGGCCGAAUCCGUGAAUCGAACCUGGGUCUGCCAUGUGACAGCGGCAUGCUCUACCAAUUGAGCUACCGGGGAACCUGCCAAGGCCCAUGGCCU